CAGCGGAACAACCGGGCGACGCGGACGCAGGAAGCCAGAUAGCAACAGCAGGGAGGAGGAAGAGGAGGGGAGAGGAAGAAAGAGAGAGAGUUUGUGGAUGCUGAUCACUUCGAUAAAAUGACAGAUGCGUCCCUCCCACGUCCAUAAACGCACGCACAUGCAAAUCGGUCGCUCGCUCACUGCGUUAUACUUGUUUUGCAAAGCUCUGGCUGUGGAAUUUCAAUGCGACACGAAGCUCAGUCGAGCUAAUGUGAUCUGGAAAAUACUCGGAGGAUUCACUUUCUCAACACACCAUCAGACGAAGCAGCUCAAUAUCAAGCGUGUACAGAAACUAAACACAGUCGUGGGACCCGGAUAAAGAGCGGAUUGCCAUGGUGACGAUGCACAGUCUGCGCUUGGCCUUGGUUUGUAUGGAGUGCCCUCAUUUCCAUCUGAAAGGUUUGUUCGCUUUCGCUAUCUCGCCGCCGUAUCCACC
Long non-coding RNA from Triplophysa rosa, 475 nucleotides. RefSeq lists it as uncharacterized. The record is from RefSeq and is a predicted model, not a curated record. NCBI's taxonomy places the organism in Eukaryota, Metazoa, Chordata, Actinopteri, Cypriniformes, Nemacheilidae. The transcript is spliced from 3 exons.